RNAcentral lists this long non-coding RNA (1205 nucleotides) under Androctonus crassicauda. The record is from RNAcentral. Lineage: Eukaryota; Metazoa; Arthropoda; Arachnida; Scorpiones; Buthidae.
AGAAUUCGAGUCUGAUGCGAAGUGUGGCUCCCCACCUCAUCGUAAAUUACGAAAGGAAUUUGAACGGAAUGAUAUUUUAAAAGAAAAAGAAACGAUAAAAAUAUGGUACUACCCGACUGGGAGAACCUCGUUUUCCACCGCAUAAAGAAAAAAUAAUAAACGAUAGAAAAUAUAUUAUGGAACAAAGAGAGGCGUUAUACGCGGGUGUGGCCAAAGACAAAUUAAAAAGAAAGGAGAAAGUAUAAGACAUCAUCUUUCCCCGGGAAAAAGAAGAAAGAAAAAGGUCGGUAAAUUUUAUGCAGGAUCUAAUACGAGACUGGAAACAGGAUGUAGCGCAGAAGGGCUAUUUCGUGUCCCGUCCCGUCCGAUUAGGGGACGAAGCGUAUUAUUUCUUUUACUUUCUCUUCCAGGUGGCGUCAAGUAGCUCUCUCCGAGGAAAUACGUUAAUAUUACGUUUUAUUUCCCGUUUAUGUUAAAUGAAUGUAUUAUUUAUUUUAUACGCGUUUCCGAAUCAAUUCUCCUACCCUGGAUCCCGGUCGGAAAUACGCUCGAGGUUAGCCAGGCACAUUGUUAUACCGACCAUCGGCUCCGAGCCGGCACUGGUGUCAGAAGAGAGCUUCUCCAAAGACGAGACACCAGCCUAGAUAGGUGGCGGGAUCCCGACACUCGGCCAAUAGCUAGUAAUAACAACUUUAAAGAUUCUGGUAUGUUUGGGUUAAAUUUUCGAUAAAAAAUAUUUUAUCUCCAAUAUAAUUAAGAUUGGCUGGCCUAACUGCAAUUAAGCUAACCUAACCGUCGGCCGGACGGUUCGAUUUCCAUUGUCCCACUCGGUAGAAAAUUUAUUAGUGGGGUGCGGGCCCACCGGGUCCUCAUCAUCCGGCCCACGCCUUCCAGAGAUGCACAGCCGGUGAAAGGAUCGGUUUGGCCCCGUCGAUUCUAUCCAUAGAUUUUCUGAUUCUGUCCCAGUGAAAAGUGGCUAGCUCUAUGUUUACAAAAACUCUAUCGAAUAUAAUUCUUUUCUCCUUGUUUAAAUAUAUCAAAAAAAUCACAAAUAAUUUAUAUUGUUUGCCGUAUUCGGCCGACUGAUGCUAUACUACAAUAUAAUCACCGAACGUUUUUUUAUUUAUAAAAAUCCUUACAGCGGGAAUUCAUCUAGCUAAAUUUUCAUUUCAGAUUAUUAUUAUUAUUAUUAUUAUUAUUAUUAU